UUUAACGGCCGCGGUAUUUUGACCGUGCAAAGGUAGCAUAAUCAUUAGUCUUUUAAUAGGGGGCUGGAAUGAAGGGUUUAACGAAUCAUUAGCUGUCUCAUUUUUAUAACUUAAAACUUAAUUUUUAAGUUAAAAAGCUUAAAUGGUAUUGAAGGACGAGAAGACCCUAUAGAGCUUUAUAUUAUAUUUUUUAAUGAAUUGUUGAUUUAUAUUUAUUUAUUAUAAUAAUUUAAUAUUUUGUUGGGGUGACAAAAAUAAAUAAUUAACUUUUUUAUUCUUUAAACAUAAAUUUAUGAACUUUUGAUCCAUUAUUAUUGAUUGUUAGAUUAAGUUACCUUAGGGAUAACAGCGUAAUCUUUUUUUGGAGUUCAAAUUUACAAAAAGGCUUGCGACCUCGAUGUUGGAUUAAGAUUAUAGUUUGGUGUAGUAGCUAAACUAAUAGGUCUGUUCGACCUUUAAAUUCUUACAUGAUCUGAGU
RNAcentral lists this ribosomal RNA (478 nucleotides) under Platycnemis foliacea sasakii. Its description in RNAcentral is "partial 16S ribosomal RNA". It matches the Rfam family "Archaeal large subunit ribosomal RNA", at positions 2000 to 2679 of the family's 2987-position model. Lineage: Eukaryota; Metazoa; Arthropoda; Insecta; Odonata; Platycnemididae. The record is from RNAcentral.